CUCCAGACUGUGGAACCUCUCCUAUACCAAAUUGCCCUCCUGUCUCCAAUCCACAGGGAAAUGCCUCCUGUACUACAAUGAUGUCCUGGAGCCCCUGUACCUGUGUCCAAAUGGUGCCCACUGUCCCACCUGGUUUCAAGAUCCAGCCUGCUUCACUGGCACCAUGGACACCUUUCCUCCCCAUCACCCUGGUGAUGACUGUGCCAGUUACCACCAUCUGCUUCACUGCUUACCACCAAAUCAAGGCCUUCCUGUGUGGUCGAGCCCUGACCUCUGACCUCUAUGCACCCAUGGUGGCUGGCACACUGGCCUGCCUGGGACAGCCCCCUGGAGCUCAUGAGGACAAAGCUGCAGGCUCAGCACAUGUCAUACCAGGAGCCGGGUGACUGUGUUCGAACUGCAGUGGCUCAGGGUGGCUGGUGCUCUCUGCGGCUGGGCUGGGACCCCACUGCCCUUCAAGAUGUGCCCUUUUCAGCCCUGUACUGGUUCAACUAUGAGCUGGUGAAGAGCUGGCUGAAUGGGCUCAGGCCAAAGGACCAGACUUCUGUGGACAUGAGAUUUGUGGCUGGUGGCAUUUCAGGGAUGGUAGCUGCUGUGCUGACUCUACCCUUUGACUUGGUGAAGACCCAAAGCCAGGUCGCAUUGAGAGCGAUGGAGGCUCUGAGAGUGACAUCCCUGCAUGUGGACUCCACCUGGCUGCUGCUGCGGAGGAUCCGGGCGAGCUGGGCACCAGGGGAUGCUUUGCAGUCUUCCUUCCUCUGAUCAUCAAGGCUGCCACCUCUUGUGCCAUCAUGAUCAGCACCUACGAGUUCGGCUAAAGGUUUUUCCAGAGGCUCAGCCAGGACCGGCUUCUGGGCGGCUGAAAGGGGCAAGGAGGCAAGGACCCCGUUUCUCCACGGAUGGAGAGAGGGCAGGAGGAGACCGAGCCAAGCCUCUUUUCCUCAGCACUGAGG
Molecule: RNA transcript, 953 nt
Organism: Cebus imitator (Panamanian white-faced capuchin)
Lineage: Eukaryota; Metazoa; Chordata; Mammalia; Primates; Cebidae
Gene name: solute carrier family 25 member 39-like
Exons: 2
Source: RefSeq, a predicted model, not a curated record